Long non-coding RNA from Daphnia carinata, 1285 nucleotides. RefSeq lists it as uncharacterized. The record is from RefSeq and is a predicted model, not a curated record. The transcript has 2 exons. Lineage: Eukaryota; Metazoa; Arthropoda; Branchiopoda; Diplostraca; Daphniidae.
GUAAUCUCAAUUUUUGGAAUUUUUGCUGCAUUAAGUCCUCUUCUGAUUGAGCAACCGUUGCAGCGCUGUCAUCUGGAAGUACCUCUUCGUUCAGAACUUCUUCAUCUACUUCCUUGAAAAGCAGAAAGAAAAAACUGUACAUUAAUCGGCUAAAAAGCGGAAAGACAAAUGGAAAACCAAAAUAGAAGCUGCUGGCCAAGAUUGACCUCUACCGUAUUUCUAAACCUUGCACGAGGGUAAAAGACGCGGAACCAAAAGACGUCGCCAUGUAUUGUAUGACUCAACUCCGGUAAACUUGGAAACUGUUCAGGUUAUCAAUCAUCGUUACCUCCUCCACCGAGUCAGUAAGAAGAUGAAAUGAAUCACGGUCUGCUUGCCUGGCAUUUAGCAGGUUGAUACUAUUUUUGAUGGAAGAAAACCUGAUUUAAUCUAAAAGGUGACGAAUGACAAAACGAGGAGAGCAUUCCUUUCGCUUGCUUCCGUUUAUGUGUUUAAGACGUCAGUAGCGUCCACCAAUCAUAGUACUCAGCACCGCGACAGGGUUGAUCACCAGCUGGAUGAUAAAGCAGCUGUAGAGCGGCCUCCGCAAGUUCUUAAUUUAGUAUGCUUGUUUUUUGUUUUGUUUUUUUAAAUCUUCUUUUCUCUCUUAACUGUGUGGUUAUUUAGACUACGUGUCACAUAAAGGAAGUAACAAAUACAGGCCGGUACUCAACUAGAACAAAACUUCAGGGAAAAAGAAAGCAUGGAUAUACCUUGAUCUCAUCGAAGGUGACGGGCUGUGUUCGAUAACGCCCAAUAGCUCCGGCUGAUGGCUGUGCCUCCCGAUACAGAAAUCUCCGCUGGUUGCGCCGACCCGAAGUUCCGUCGGCAGCACCGCGAUGUAGCCGUGAUAUGUGCUCCGGGAAAACGGCGUCUACCUCUUUUCUAAACUCUUGGCAAGCCAUUUCAUCUGACCAGGUCUGACAGUCUGAUGAUGCGUUACCAGUUUUUUCCUCCCGGCAGUCCUCUCUAAGUUUCACGACUCUCGCGUCUUCCCAAAAUAUCACGCGAGUAUCACGCUAUAACGCUUUCCGAAUUUUCACCAAAAUUUCUCCUGCUUGAACAGACGUGAAGUACUGGUCUUCAGUUAAAAGAUUUAAAACACAAAAUUUGUUUAUCAAAUGUCUCCGACAAGCAUAGAAACGUGAUCGAUGCGUGCCAGACCAAAGUUUUGCGAAGAGUGACUGCCCAAUUUGGGAACACCUUCUAAGUUUCAGAGUAUUACAACAUCCCUGUCAAUACUGAA